RNAcentral lists this ribosomal RNA (230 nucleotides) under Nostoc sp. 3335mG. RNAcentral describes it as "partial 16S ribosomal RNA". It matches the Rfam family "Bacterial small subunit ribosomal RNA", at positions 502 to 731 of the family's 1533-position model. Lineage: Bacteria; Bacillati; Cyanobacteriota; Cyanophyceae; Nostocales; Nostocaceae. The record is from RNAcentral.
UCCGUGCCAGCAGCCGCGGUAAUACGGAGGGGGCUAGCGUUGUUCGGAAUUACUGGGCGUAAAGCGCACGUAGGCGGCUUGGUAAGUUAGAGGUGAAAGCCCGGGGCUCAACCCCGGAAUUGCCUUUAAGACUGCCGAGCUAGCAGGUGAGAGAGGUGAGUGGAAUUCCGAGUGUAGAGGUGAAAUUCGUAGAUAUUCGGAAGAACACCAGUGGCGAAGGCGGCUCACUG